GAUGAACGCUGGCGGCGUGCCUAAUACAUGCAAGUCGAGCGAACGGAUGAGGAGCUUGCUCCUCUGACGUUAGCGGCGGACGGGUGAGUAACACGUGGAUAACCUACCUAUAAGACUGGGAUAACUUCGGGAAACCGGAGCUAAUACCGGAUAAUAUAUUGAACCGCAUGGUUCAAAAGUGAAAGACGGUCUUGCUGUCACUUAUAGAUGGAUCCGCGCCGCAUUAGCUAGUUGGUAAGGUAACGGCUUACCAAGGCAACGAUGCAUAGCCGACCUGAGAGGGUGAUCGGCCACACUGGAACUGAGACACGGUCCAGACUCCUACGGGAGGCAGCAGUAGGGAAUCUUCCGCAAUGGGCGAAAGCCUGACGGAGCAACGCCGCGUGAGUGAUGAAGGUCUUCGGAUCGUAAAACUCUGUUAUUAGGGAAGAACAAAUGUGUAAGUAACUAUGCACAUCUUGACGGUACCUAAUCAGAAAGCCACGGCUAACUACGUG
This 497-nucleotide ribosomal RNA is filed under the name uncultured bacterium. Its description in RNAcentral is "partial 16S ribosomal RNA". It matches the Rfam family "Bacterial small subunit ribosomal RNA", at positions 28 to 507 of the family's 1533-position model. The record is from RNAcentral.